This 856-nucleotide ribosomal RNA is filed under the name uncultured archaeon. Its description in RNAcentral is "SSU rRNA". It matches the Rfam family "Archaeal small subunit ribosomal RNA", at positions 474 to 1337 of the family's 1478-position model. The record is from RNAcentral.
UACCAGCUCUCCGAGUUGUGGGGAUAUUUAUUGGGCCUAAAGCAUCCGUAGCCGGCUGAGCAAGUCCCCUGUUAAAUCCAGCGACGAAUCGUUGGCCUGCGGGGGAUACUGCUCGGCUAGGGGGCGGGAGAGGCCGUCGGUAUUCUUGGGGUAGGGGUGAAAUCCUAUAAUCCCAGGAGGACCACCAGUGGCGAAGGCUGUCGGCUAGCAACGCGCCCGACGGUGAGGGAUGAAGGCUGGGGGAGCGAACCGGAUUAGAUACCCGGGUAGUCCCAGCUGUAAACGAUGCAGGCUAGGUGUUAGGGCGGCUACGUGCCGCUCUAGUGCCGCAGGGAAGCUGUUAAGCCUGCCGCCUGGGGAGUACGGCCGCAAGGCUGAAACUUAAAGGAAUUGGCGGGGGAGCACCACAAGGGGUGAAGCUUGCGGUUUAAUUGGAGUCAACGCCGGAAAUCUCACCGGGGGCGACAGCAGGAUGAAAGCCAGAUUAAAGGUCUUGCCAGACGAGCUGAGAGGAGGUGCAUGGCCGUCGCCAGUUCGUGCCGUGAGGUGUCCUGUUAAGUCAGGCAACGAUCGAGACCCGCAUCCCCCGUUGCUACCAGCCAUGAGCUGGGCACACUGGGGAGACCGCCGCCGAUAAGGCGGAGGAAGGAGCGGGCCACGGCAGGUCAGUAUGCCCCGAAUCUCCCGGGCCACACGCGAGCUGCAAUGGUAGGUACAAUGGGUUCCGACCUCGAAAGGGGGAGGAAAUCUCUAAAACCUGCCGUAGUUGGGAUCGAGGGUUGAAACCCACCCUCGUGAACAUGGAAUCCCUAGUAAUCGCGCGUCACUAGCGCGCGGUGAAUACGUCCCUGCUCCU